GUCCGUUCAUUGCUGGCCUGCGAGCAGUACGCCAGGAUGACCAGUCCUCCGAUGAUGAAGAUCAGCAUGCACAUCUGCAGCGCAAUGCCCGCGGCCACUCCGCCAGCCAUGUUGAAGGCAGCGGGGAAGUUGAGCAGCCCAGCUCCAAGCGCAGCAUUCACCACGAUGAACACUGCACCCAGCGCCGACGUGGCCCCGGCGCCGUUCCCUUGGCUCUCCCCG
This 222-nucleotide long non-coding RNA is filed under the name Gallus gallus (chicken). The record is from RNAcentral. Lineage: Eukaryota; Metazoa; Chordata; Aves; Galliformes; Phasianidae.